GAUAAACGCUGGCGGCGUGCUUUAUGCAUGCAAGUCGAACGGUCCUUCCCGUAAGGGAAGGAUAGUGGCGAACGGGUGAGUAACGCGUAAGUAACCUGCCCCCAAGUAGAGGAUAACUCUGAGAAAUUGGAGCUAAUACUGUAGUGGUCCUUCACUGUAAGGGGAAGGACUAAAGCCUUAGGGCGCUUGGGGAGGGGCUUGCGUCCGAUUAGCUAGUUGGUGGGGUAACGGCUUACCAAGGCGUUGAUCGGUAGCUGGUCUGAGAGGAUGGUCAGCCACACUGGGACUGAGAUACGGCCCAGACUCCUACGGGAGGCAGCAGCAAGGAAUAUUGUGCAAUGGGCGAAAGCCUGACACAGCGACGCCGCGUGGGGGAUGAAGGCCUUCGGGUCGUAAACCCCUUUUCUCAGGGAAGAACAAUGACGGUACCUGAGGAAUAAGUCACGGCUAACUACGUGCCAGCAGCCGCGGUAAUACGUAGGUGGCUAGCGUUAUUCGGAUUUACUGGGCGUAAAGAGGGCGUAGGCGGUCUUACAAGUCAGAUGUAAAAUCUCUCGGCUUAACCGGGAGGGAUCAUGUGAUACUGUUAGACUUGAGGGCAGCAGAAGGAGGUGGAAUUCCCGGUGUAGUGGUGAAAUGCGUAGAUAUCGGGAGGAACACCAGUGGCGAAGGCGGCCUCCUAGGCUGUUACUGACGCUGAGGCCCGAAAGCGUGGGGAGCGAACAGGAUUAGAUACCCUGGUAGUCCACGCCGUAAACGAUGGACACUGGGUAUGGGGAGUAUCGACCCUCUCCGUGCCGAAGCUAACGCGUUAAGUGUCCCGCCUGGGGACACGGCCGCAAGGCU
RNAcentral lists this ribosomal RNA (846 nucleotides) under uncultured Chloroflexota bacterium. Its description in RNAcentral is "bacterial SSU rRNA". It matches the Rfam family "Bacterial small subunit ribosomal RNA", at positions 28 to 895 of the family's 1533-position model. The record is from RNAcentral. Lineage: Bacteria; Bacillati; Chloroflexota.